CCGGCUGCUGCCUGGCGGCCAACGGACCAGGUAGGAUUUCCGGGAGAGGCUGCUGUGGAGGCUGAGGAGGCGGCGGCGGAGACCUGGAAACAAUAUCUCACCUCCCUAAACUGGUUAAUAGUGGCAUGGAAGAUCCAUUUGAGGAAGCAGACCAGCCCGCUACAGAGCCAGGCAUGGUCAUGGACAGUGUGGAAGCAGGAGACACAACACCUCCUACCAAAAGGAAGAGCAAGUUCUCAGGCUUUGGCAAGAUCUUCAAGCCAUGGAAAUGGAGGAAAAAAAAGAGUAGUGAUAAAUUUAAAGAGACUUCAGAAGUUUUAGAACGGAAAAUAUCUAUGCGAAAGCCAAGAGAAGAGCUGGUUAAAAGAGGGGUUCUGUUGGAAGACCCUGAGCAAGGUGGUGAGGAUCCAGGAAAGCCAAGCCAUGCCAUGUUAAAGAAUGGCCAUACCACCCCCAUAGGGAAUGCCGGAUCAUCUAGUCCAGUCCAAGUAGAGGAAGAGCCAGUAAGAUUAGCAAGUCUUAGGAAAGCUAUUCCAGAAGAGGACCUAAAGAAACGACUAGGCUCAACUGGAAGCCAGCCUAAUUCUGAAGCAGAGUCUGUUCCUGAGAAUGUACCCAAACCACCUUUACUUCCUCCCAAAAGACCCUUGUCUUCUUCUCAUGAAGCAAGUGAAGGGCAAGCAAAGGAUGCCACUUCUUCUGGCGGCACAGCAAGGUUCAUCAUCUCCACCUCCAUCACCACAGCACCCGCUGCCACCACUGCUGCCACAAGCCUUGCAAAGACUGUUAAUCUCUCUGUCACCCCUUCCCCAGCACCCAGGACUCUGCCUGCUGCUCCUGCCAGCACUAACACUACUGCUACCCCAAGCCUCACUCAUAUGGUCCCUGCCAAGCAGCCCCCUAUCCCUCCCCCUAAACCAGCUCACAGAAAUAGCAACCCUGUCAUUGGUAAGUAAGUCUUUAGGCUUCCAGUGUUUUGGGUUUGGUUUGAUGUUGGAUGGUUAUUUUAUUUGAUAACUGGUACAACAGUGAUUUGGUCUGUGAGAAUUUUCCAUAUCUUGUCCCUUUGAAUGACCUCAAUAUGGAGAAAAGUCUUAGGUUAAGAAAAAACAGGCCGGGUGCGGUGGCUCACACCUGUAAUCCCAGCACUUUGGGAGGCCGAGGUGGGUGGAUCACAAGGUCAGGAGAUCGAGACCAUCCUGGCAACAUGGUGAAACCCUGUCUCUACUAAAAAUUAAAAAAAUUAGCCAGGUAUGGUGGCACGUGCCUGUAGUCCCAGCUACUUGGGAGGCUGAGGCAAGAGAAUUGCUUGAACCCAGGAGGCAGAGGUUGCAGUGAGCUGAGAUUGUGCCACUGCACUCCAGCCUAGGUGACAGAAAGAGACUCUCAAAAAAACAAAAACAAACAAAAAAG
This 1413-nucleotide small RNA is filed under the name Pongo abelii (Sumatran orangutan). RNAcentral's name for it is "retained intron". The record is from RNAcentral. Lineage: Eukaryota; Metazoa; Chordata; Mammalia; Primates; Hominidae.